CACGGUCAAAUGUAGUAACAGAAGGCGAACGGCUUUUCAGGUGAAAGACGACCGAUGUAAAAGGAGUUGUACUUCCUUGGGUUUCAAUCCCUAAAACUGCCCUUUGAUGCCCUUACACGGACGCUUCUUGCAUGGUGGGUGAAUGUGUCAUAGCCCAUUUCAUGUGUAAGGACAAAGCAGAUUAGAUGGCACCCUACAACGCAUUUGUACGAGGGGCGAAUACUUUUAUUAUGACAA
RNAcentral lists this non-coding RNA (237 nucleotides) under unclassified sequences. RNAcentral's name for it is "RT-2 RNA". It matches the Rfam family "RT-2 RNA". From Rfam's summary of the family: Coriobacteriales (Actinobacteria), Clostridiales (Firmicutes). Downstream gene The record is from Rfam by way of RNAcentral.